This 577-nucleotide ribosomal RNA is filed under the name uncultured bacterium. RNAcentral's name for it is "bacterial SSU rRNA". It matches the Rfam family "Bacterial small subunit ribosomal RNA", at positions 920 to 1501 of the family's 1533-position model. The record is from RNAcentral.
CCCGCACAAGCGGUGGAUGAUGUGGAUUAAUUCGAUGCAACGCGAAAAACCUUACCUACCCUUGACAUGUCUGGAAUCCUGAAGAGAUUUAGGAGUGCUCGCAAGAGAACCGGAACACAGGUGCUGCAUGGCUGUCGUCAGCUCGUGUCGUGAGAUGUUGGGUUAAGUCCCGCAACGAGCGCAACCCUUGUCAUUAGUUGCUACGAAAGGGCACUCUAAUGAGACUGCCGGUGACAAACCGGAGGAAGGUGGGGAUGACGUCAAGUCCUCAUGGCCCUUAUGGGUAGGGCUUCACACGUCAUACAAUGGUCGGGACAGAGGGUCGCCAACCCGCGAGGGGGAGCCAAUCCCAGAAACCCGAUCGUAGUCCGGAUCGCAGUCUGCAACUCGACUGCGUGAAGUCGGAAUCGCUAGUAAUCGCGGAUCAGCAUGUCGCGGUGAAUACGUUCCCGGGUCUUGUACACACCGCCCGUCACACCAUGGGAGUGGGUUUUACCAGAAGUAGUUAGCCUAACCGCAAGGGGGGCGAUUACCACGGUAGGAUUCAUGACUGGGGUGAAGUCGUAACAAGGUAGCC